AGAGAAUUUCUAGAUUGCCAC
Molecule: non-coding RNA, 21 nt
Filed under: Arabidopsis thaliana (thale cress)
Lineage: Eukaryota; Viridiplantae; Streptophyta; Magnoliopsida; Brassicales; Brassicaceae
Source: RNAcentral